Molecule: ribosomal RNA, 496 nt
Filed under: Ligia exotica
Lineage: Eukaryota; Metazoa; Arthropoda; Malacostraca; Isopoda; Ligiidae
Description: partial 12S ribosomal RNA
Source: RNAcentral
CUAGAGCAGGUAAUCUCUACCAAGCAAAGAGAUAAAAGUAUGAAUGUGCUAGCCCUAGGUAAAAUUUAUACCUACGCACAUCCUACUAGCUAGCCUCUUAACCCUGAGGGAUAAACAAGGAUUAGAUACCCUUCUAUACUUAGGACCCUCUAGGCAGGGUAGUAACUAGCUAUGUUCUUCAAACCCAAAGGAUUUGGCGGUUUCUUAUCUAAUCAGAGGAACCUGUAUAGUAAUCGAAGCUACACGGUAGAUCUUACCAGAGGGAGGCCUGUAUACCGUCGUCUAGACAGUUUCAGAAGAAUCUCUCGCCACGGGACACAUUAAUGGCAGAUCAAGGUGCAGCUUACUCUGGCUGGUAUGGGUUACAAUCCAAACAAGGCUGGAUAGCUAGCUUAUAAGCAGCUUAAAAUUGGAUUUGACAGUAAUACAGUCUUAGUAAGGACAUAUAAAGAUGCUAUGAGAAACGUACAUAUCGCCCGUCACUCUCACACUAAAU